RNAcentral lists this non-coding RNA (779 nucleotides) under Pyrgus maculatus. The record is from RNAcentral. Lineage: Eukaryota; Metazoa; Arthropoda; Insecta; Lepidoptera; Hesperiidae.
AUAAAUAUUUAUGAUUUUGAAAAUUUACUAAUAAUUUAUUUUAUAUAUAAAUUUUAGUAUUAAUUUUUAAUUAUUUUAAUAAUAUUUAAAUUAAUUAAAUUGUAGUAAAUAAAAUUAAAAAUUUAAGAAAUUAAGAUUUAGUAAUAUUAAAAUUAUUAACAAAUUUUGUGCCAGCAGUUGCGGUUAUACAAAAAUUAAAAUAAAUUUUUUUAGUUUUAAAUAGAUAAAAUAAAAAUUUAAAUAAAAUAUUAAAUUAUUAGGUGAAAUUUUAAUUUAAUUAAAAUUUAUUUUUUUUUAUGAUUUUGGAAAUUUUAUUAUAAACUAGGAUUAGAUACCCUAUUAUUAAAAAUUUAAAUUUAAAAUACUAAAAUAUUAAAUAAUUAAUUAUUGAAACUUAAGUAAUUUGGCGGUAUUUUAGUUCAUUUAGAGGAAUCUGUCUAGUAAUUGAUAAUUCACGAAUAAAUUUACUUAAUUUUUUUUAUUUUGUAUAUCGUUGUUAAAAAAAUAUUUUAUAAUAAUAAUAAUAUUUAAAAAUUAUGAUAAAAAAUUAAUUCAGAUCAAGAUGCAGAUGAUAAUUAAGAAUAUGAUGGAUUACAAUAAAUUUAUUUAAAUGAAUAUUAUUUUGUAAAAUGUAAUUGAAGGUGGAUUUAAAUGUAAUUUUAUUUAUUUUAAUAAAAUGAUUUAAAAUUAAAAUAUGUACAUAUUGCCCGUCGCUUUCAUUUUAAAAUUGGAAUAAGUCGUAACAAAGUAGAGGUACUGGAAAGUGUUUCUAGAAAGAU